This 285-nucleotide ribosomal RNA is filed under the name uncultured bacterium. RNAcentral's name for it is "partial 16S ribosomal RNA". It matches the Rfam family "Bacterial small subunit ribosomal RNA", at positions 775 to 1060 of the family's 1533-position model. The record is from RNAcentral.
GUUGAUUAGAUACCCCGGUAGUCCACGCCCUAAACGAUGAAUACUAGACGUUGGGUGUAAAAACUCAGUGUCGCAGCUAACGCAUUAAGUAUUCCACCUGGGGAGUACGAUCGCAAGGUUGAAACUCAAAGGAAUUGACGGGGGCCCGCACAAGCAGUGGAGCAUGUGGUUCAAUUCGAUGCAACGCGAAGAACCUUACCUAGGCUUGAAAAGCAAGCUAAAGCAGAUGAAAGUCUGUGUGCCGCAAGGCGAGCUUGUACAGGUGCUGCAUGGCCGUCGUCAACU